Molecule: transfer RNA, 76 nt
Filed under: Ophisternon infernale
Lineage: Eukaryota; Metazoa; Chordata; Actinopteri; Synbranchiformes; Synbranchidae
Description: tRNA-Thr
Rfam family: tRNA
About the family: Transfer RNA (tRNA) molecules are approximately 80 nucleotides in length. Their secondary structure includes four short double-helical elements and three loops (D, anti-codon, and T loops).
Source: RNAcentral
GCAACGACAGCUUUAAGGUACAUUCGAGCAUCGGUCUUGUAAACCGAAGGUCGGGGUUCAAAUCCCCUUCGCUGCU